GUUAUUCUUUUUGUUUUUUGUUUUUUUUUUUUUUAAAUAAAAAUGAAGUUAAAGUGAGUAAAUUAGAGUAACCGUUGAGGUCAAUCACGAAAUCUCUACCAAACAUAGAAAUGGGACACCGCAGACAAACAAGAGAAGUGGUUACUGAACCCUUAGCUGGAGUUUCAACAACCAUUUCCCCUUUCAUAUCAGAUAUAUCCAAACCCAACUUAUAAGCACAUUCAAUAGCAAUAAAACAGUGAGUAGCACCAGUAUCAAUAAUAGCAAUUAAAGGAGUACUAUUAAAGAAACAAGUACCUCUGAUAAGUCGGUCCUCAUUAGGAGUCUGCGUACCAGUCAAAGCAAACACCUUCCCACCAAUUCUAGUCUUCUUCGGCUCAGGACACUGCGAACUAAUAUGGCCUUCCCCAUUGCAGUUGUAACAGACAACGUCCCCACGCUUGCAUUCAGCUAAGUUGUGACCCUUCUGACCACACCUGAAGCACUUUCUAUCAUCUCUACCACAAACAUUACUCUUGUGGCCUUUCUCACCACACUUGUAGCAAACAAUCUCAACUGGAGCAUCUCUCCUCUUGGGCCUCCUAUCAUCACCCAUCCUCUGCUUUCCCUUGUCGGCAGGAGCACUGUAAGGCUUAGGACGAUUCUGUUGUCCCUUACC
RNAcentral lists this long non-coding RNA (658 nucleotides) under Medicago truncatula (barrel medic). RNAcentral's name for it is "lncRNA gene36600". Lineage: Eukaryota; Viridiplantae; Streptophyta; Magnoliopsida; Fabales; Fabaceae. The record is from RNAcentral.